ACUCAAAUGAAUAGACGGGGGCCCGCACAAGCGGCGGAGCAUGUUGCUUAAUUCGAUGCAACGCGAAGAACCUUACCUGGGUUGAACUACGCAGGAAAAGCCACAGAGAUGUGGUGUCCGCAAGGGCCUGCGAUAGGUGGUGCAUGGCUGUCGUCAGCUCGUGUCGUGAGAUGUUGGGUUAAGUCCCGCAACGAGCGCAACCCUUGUCCUAUGUUGCCAGCGGGUAAUGCCGGGGACUCGUAGGAGACUGCCGGGGUCAACUCGGAGGAAGGUGGGGAUGACGUCAAGUCCGCAUGCCCCUUAUGUCCAGGGCUGCAAACAUGCUACAAUGGCCGGUACAAAGGGUCGCUAUCCCGCGAGGGGGAGCCAAUCCCAUAAAGCCGGUCUCAGUUCGGAUCGGAGUCUGCAACUCGACUCCGUGAAGUCGGAGUCGCUAGUAAUCCCGGAUCAGCAACGCCGGGGUGAAUACGUUCCCGGGCCUUGCACACACCGCCCGU
Molecule: ribosomal RNA, 497 nt
Filed under: uncultured bacterium
Lineage: Bacteria
Description: partial 16S ribosomal RNA
Rfam family: Bacterial small subunit ribosomal RNA
Source: RNAcentral